UGAUGACGAGACGCUAAGGCGUUGAAGCAGUGUAUGUCAGACUUCCAAGAAAAGCUCGCAAUGUCACUAAUAAAAAAUGCCUGUACCAUAACCGACACAGGUGGGUAGGUAGAGUAUACUAAGGGGCGCGAGAUAACUCUCUCUAAGGAACUCGGCAAAAUGACUCCGUAACUUCGGGAGAAGGAGUGCCUUAUUUAUAAGGUUGCAAUAACAAGAUCCAAGCAACUGUUUAUCAAAAACACAGGUCUCCGCUAAGUCGUAAGACGAUGUAUGGGGGCUGACGCCUGCCCAGUGCCAGAAGGUUAAAGAAGUUGGUUAGUGUAUGCGAAGCUGAUGACUGAAGCCCUGGUGAACGGCGGCCGUAACUAUAACGGUCCUAAGGUAGCGAAAUUCCUUGUCGGGUAAGUUCCGACCCGCACGAAAGGCGUAAUGAUUUGGAUACUGUCUCGGAGAGAGGCUCGGUGAAAUAGACUUGUCUGUGAAGAUGCGGACUACCUGCACCAGGACAGAAAGACCCUAUGAAGCUUUACUGUAACUUGAAAUUGGAAUUGGACUUUGCUUGCGCAGUAUAGGUGGGAAGCGUUGAAAAUAUUCUUGCGGGAGUAUUGGAGCUAUCAGUGAGAUACCACUCUUGUAAUGUUAGAUUUCUAACUUUGAACCAUAAUCUGGUCAAAGAACAGUUUCAGGUGGGCAGUUUGACUGGGGCGGUCGCCUCCCAAAUGGUAACGGAGGCGUACAAAGGUUUCCUCUGAACGGAUAGAAAUCGUAUCUAGAGUGUAAAGGCAUAAGGAAGCUUGACUGUGAGACCUACAAGUCGAGCAGGGACGAAAGUCGGUCUUAGUGAUCUGACGGUACUGAGUGGAAAGGCCGUCACUCAACGGAUAAAAGUUACUCUAGGGAUAACAGGCUGAUCUCCCCCAAGAGUUCACAUCGACGGGGAGGUUUGGCACCUCGAUGUCGGCUCAUCGCAUCCUGGGGCGGUAGUACGUCCCAAGGGUUGGGCUGUUCGCCCAUGAAAGCGGUACGCGAGCUGGGUUCAGAACGUCGUGAGACAGUUCGGUCCAUAUCCGGUGUAGGCGCUAGAAUAUUGAGAGGAGCCUUCUUUAGUACGAGAGGACCGAGAAGGACACACCGCUGGUGUACCAGUUAUCGUGCCAACGGUAAACGCUGGGUAGCUAUGUGUGGAGUGGAUAACCGCUGAAAGCAUCUAAGUGGGAAGCCCACCUCGAGAUGAGUAUUCCC
Molecule: ribosomal RNA, 1242 nt
Filed under: metagenome
Description: bacterial LSU rRNA
Rfam family: Bacterial large subunit ribosomal RNA
Source: RNAcentral